AGUUAGAUCCUGGCUCAGGAUAAACGCUGGCGGCAGGCUUUACACAUGCAAGUCGAGCGGGGUAGCAAUACCCAGCGGCAAACGAGUGAGUAAUGUGCAGGAAUGUCCCUUAAGUUUGGUAUAGCUAGCCGAAAGGUUAGGUAAUCCCAAAUGUGAACGAAAGUUUAAAGAAGCAAUUCGCUUAAGGCACAGCCUGCAUCCCAUCAGCUAGUUGGUAAGGUAAUGGCUUACCAAGGCUAAGACGGGUAGCUGGUCUGAGAGGAUGAUCAGCCACGCUGGAACUGCGACACGGUCCAGACAUCUACGGAUGGCAGCAGUGGGGAAUUUUCGGCAAUGGACGAAAGUCUGACCGAGCCAUGCCGCGUGUAGGAUGAAAGCCCUAUGGGUUGUAAACUACUGUGGUAGCUAACUAAAAAAAUGAAGUAGCUAUUAGAAAGAAGUUGCUAACUCUGUGCCAGCAGCAGCGGUAAUACAGAGACUUCAAGCGUUAUCCGGUUUCACUGGGCGUAAAGCGUUCCGAUAGGUGGAUAAGUGUGUUUAUAGUUAAAGACCGAGGCUUAACCUCGUGUAUGCUAUGAAAACUGCUUAUCUAGAAGAGCAAAGAGGUAGCUGGAACUCUACAUGUAGGGGUAAAAUCCGCUGAUAUGUAGGGGAACACCGAAAGCGAAGGCAGGCUACUGGGUGCUUCUUGACACUGCUAGGACGAAAGCGUGGGGAGAGAAUGGGAUUAGAUACCCCAGUAUUCCACGCCCUAAACGAUGAGUGCUUGCUUUUAGAUCGUUCAAUCCGAUUUAGAGGCAAAAGUUAACACUAUAAGCACUCCGCCUGUAUAGUACGGUCGCAAGACUAAAACACAAAGGAAUUGACGGGAACCCGCACAAGCAGUGGAUCAUGUGGCUUAAUUCGAUAGUAAGCGAGGAACCUCACCUAGGCUUGACAUGUUAGUGCAAGGGGUAUGAAAGUAUCCCCCUCUUCGGACUCUAACACAGGUGAUGCACGGUCGUCGUCAGCUCGUGGCGUGAGCUGUUCGGUUAAGUCCGGUAACGAGCGCAACCCUAAUACUUAGUUAUUUAAUGUCUAAGUAGACUGCAGGAGCUUAAUCCUGAGGAAGGAUAGGAUGACGUCAGAUCAGCGUGUCCUUUAUGCCUAGGGCGGCACACAUGAUACAAUGGGAAGAGUACAACAGGACAGCCAAGGAGUAAUCCGGAGCAAAUCCCCCAAAACUCCCCUCAGUACGGAUAAAAGUCUGCAACCCGACUUUUUGAAGCUGGAAUUGCUAGUAAUCGCUAAUCAGCCUCGUAGCGGUGAAUACGUUCUCGGGUUUUGUACACACUGCCCGUCAAGGUCUGGAAAUUAGAUGUGCCCCAAAACCCCUAAACAGGGUGGAAGGCAAAGCUAGUAACUGGAUUUAAGUCGUAACAAGGUAAC
This 1428-nucleotide ribosomal RNA is filed under the name uncultured delta proteobacterium. Its description in RNAcentral is "16S ribosomal RNA". It matches the Rfam family "Bacterial small subunit ribosomal RNA". Lineage: Bacteria; Deltaproteobacteria. The record is from RNAcentral.